UGCCAAGUACAAAUCACCACGAGUGCAUGUGAUCGCACAUGACCCCAGAAGCUAAGUAAAGUUGAGCCUGGUUAGUACGUGGAUGGGAGACUCUCUGGGAAUACCUUGUGUGGUAUGCUUGGGCU
Molecule: ribosomal RNA, 125 nt
Filed under: Petromyzon marinus (sea lamprey)
Lineage: Eukaryota; Metazoa; Chordata; Hyperoartia; Petromyzontiformes; Petromyzontidae
Source: RNAcentral